GAAAGAUGGGACCCCCCAGCCGUUGGAUUCCGCUUGUGCAGCGAUCACUUCAUAUCAGGGAGAAAGAGUGAUAAUCCCUUGAGUCCGGACUUUGUUCCAUCUAUUUUCAACUACGUGCCAUCUCCAGAGAAGAAAAAUGAGACUGGAGGUUUUCAACAGACGACAGAAAGCAAAGCUACAGAAGAUAGCUUUGUCUGCUCUAUCUGCAAAAGCCAUCCCUCUCAGAGCAUCAACCGAUUGUCCCCAAGACGGCAACAAGGACCCUACUGCAGACCAAACUCCCACCACAGAGCCUUUUGAAUCUACCCAUGAAGAACCUGGAAAUGAUGUCCAGCCUGUUCUCCAUGAGGAUGAUCCAGCAACUCCACCAUGCAGCACUGAAACCUGCGGUAAACGCAUCCAAUCUCUUGAGCAAGAAUGCCAAGCUUUGAGGACUGAGAAUAUGUUGUUGAAAGAAAAAAUUAAUAGGACUACACUGAAUGAGAUGAGCUUGCAUAACGAUGAUAAAAGAGUUAAUACUCUCACUGGUUUAUCAACAUAUUCAAUUCUCAUGGCAAUUUUUGAUAUUGUGGCUCCUUUCCUCAAACUUAAAUCUGGUUUAACAUGUUUUCAGCAGUACAUGUUAACUUCAAUAAAGCUCAGAAUUAACUUGUCCUUUGAAUUUUUGGCUUUUUAUUUUGGCAUUGACUCAACCACUGUUUCAAAGCUCUUCAAACAUUGUAUUAGUGUGAUGCAUUGUAGACUGGUGCCAAGUCUUGUGUUGUGGCCUGACAGAGAAUACUUAAGAAAAUCUCUUCCAAAUGC
Alosa sapidissima (American shad) is the source of this 804-nucleotide long non-coding RNA. RefSeq lists it as uncharacterized. NCBI's taxonomy places the organism in Eukaryota, Metazoa, Chordata, Actinopteri, Clupeiformes, Clupeidae. The record is from RefSeq and is a predicted model, not a curated record. The transcript is spliced from 3 exons.